AUUGAACGCUGGCGGAAUGCUUUACACAUGCAAGUCGAACGAUGAAGCCUAGCUUGCUAGGUCGAUUAGUGGCGAACGGGUGAGUAAUAUAUCGGAACGUAUCCAAUAAUGGGGGAUAACUAGUCGAAAGAUUGGCUAAUACCGCAUACGUCCUACGGGAGAAAGCUGGGGGUCGUAAGACCUGGCGUUAAUGGAGCGGCCGAUAUCUGAUUAGCUAGUUGGUGAGGUAAAGGCUCACCAAGGCGACGAUCAGUAGCUGGUCUGAGAGGACGACCAGCCACACUGGAACUGCGACACGCUCCAGACUCCUACGGGAGGCGGCAUUGGGGAAUUUUGGGCAAUGGGCGAAAGCCUGUUCCAGCCAUACCGCGUGAGUGAAAAAGGCCUUCGGGUUGUAAAGCUCUUUCUCAAGGGAAGAACACUUACUUAAUGACACUUAGUGAGGUUGACGGUACCUUGAUAAGAAGCACCGGCUAACUACGUGCCAGCAGCCGCAGUAA
RNAcentral lists this ribosomal RNA (500 nucleotides) under uncultured bacterium. RNAcentral describes it as "partial 16S ribosomal RNA". It matches the Rfam family "Bacterial small subunit ribosomal RNA", at positions 30 to 523 of the family's 1533-position model. The record is from RNAcentral.